Molecule: unclassified non-coding RNA, 267 nt
Filed under: Glomus sp.
Lineage: Eukaryota; Fungi; Glomeromycota; Glomeromycetes; Glomerales; Glomeraceae
Description: partial contains 5.8S ribosomal RNA and internal transcribed spacer 2
Rfam family: 5.8S ribosomal RNA (bases 1-65)
Source: RNAcentral
GUGAAUCAUCAAAUUUUUGAACGCAAAUUGCACUCAUUUCGGAGAGUAUGCCUGAUUGAGGGUCAGCCUAAAAAAAAUCGACAUAGUUGCUGUUAAGCGGUAACAUUCGUUGGAAAUUGGGUCAUAUCAAAACUGUGGGUUUAAGCGGUUAAAAAUUCUGUGUACGAUUCCAAGAACGUUUCUAAGAUUAUAUCUUCUUAUACGUUUAAGGUAUCGAUCUUUAUUAGAUGCUGUUGUUGCAUCGGAUCCUGUCCAUAAAUAUUUCGU